UCGGCCACGUGUUGCAUUGAUCUGUACUGUGUUUUGUAUAAAACAGAAGUACUUUACAGGUAGAUAUCCAUAUCCCUGAACUGAGUGACUAGUGAAUCUCAACCAUUACUGAACAGUGACAGAGGCAGGAGAUGGCUGAGUCAUCAAUCUCUCUGCUCAGCAGGAGUCUCAACCCAAGCCCAAACCUCAAAAUAGCGAUACUGAAACAUUCUCAGAGAAGGAACUCGUGGAAAAGAUAAAUGCUCUACAAAACCCACCAUCUCCCCACACCAAAGAAGACCCUAAUGAAUUGAAUCUUCUUAAAAAGCUUAAAAAGCUACAUGAAAAAGGAAAAGCAGUUGGCUACACGACUGUGGAGUAUUCAAAAAAAGUCCUUGAAGAGCUAGUCUGUGAAAAAAAGAUGACUGUCCAAUAUCCCCGCCCAAAGAAUACACUGAUGAAUUGAAAUGGCUUGAAGACCUACUCGAAAAAGCAAAAGAGGAUGGCUACGCGACUGUAUGCGAUGGUACAGUGUUCCACUGCGGGGGAAAUUUGCUGUACACAUGUGCACACGUUGUAAGAAGUGAAGAUUAUCUUGGAGAUACGACUGUUACCUUUGAGUGGAGAAAUUUGGACGGCAAACACCUGAGACACACACAUACCCACCUCUACAAGGCGACCCCAGUCACAGAAUUGGUAUUUUCACAAAAAUCACCGAAGGUGGAGACGAAAUUGAUCUAGCUAUAUUUCGAGAGAACCAAAUCAAUGUUUCGCUGCAAGCAAUUGAGUUCAAAUCUAUCAUUUCAACAAAAUAUGAUCCUGAAGUACCUGAACACCAAGCGACCCCUAUCCCUAUAUCCCUUAGGGAAGAUGAUACGCUCUACCACAUCUACUGGGAUUUUCCAAAAUCAAGUACACCAAUUGCAACAAAAAUGUUUUGCAUUACAAAACAAAGUACAGACAAAGAAGUGAAUAGUGAGCGUAAAGAAGGAGAAGAUGUUGGACCGUGUUUUCCAUUCAACUCUCCAGCACUAAAAGGGGCCAGUGGGUCUCCUGUCAUGGUGUAUAGAAAUAUCUUUGAAGAAGAUUCUGAUGAAGAAGAUUCUGAUGAAGAAGAUUCUGAUGAUGAUUCUAAACGAUUUUGUCUUGUUGGGGUUAUGAGCGAGGGUUGGAAGAAGGUACAACUGGCCCAAUUACCCGAAUCAAUUAAACAGCAUUCUAACCUAAUGCAAACGCUUGAAAGGCGACUCAGAACUCUAGAUCGAGCAGAGUCAUUGGCUAAACAGCUUAUGGACAACACCACUGUACCCGUAAAGUGGAUGCAUACGUUGGAGCAACAGGUACAGCAAGCCAAGGAAAGUAUCAGUGAUGUCUUUCAAACAAAUGAUAUUGUCGGAACAGGACAACUAGCUAGAUCAGACUAACUACACGUAAAUCUUGACAAUCUUUCUACGCAUUGUAGUUGUUUACUAGCUUAUAAUUAUGCUAUAUUAUAUAACAUGCACCGUAGCUUGAUUACAGCUUUGUAUUUCGUACAGCCUUAUGCAUGAACUCUUUCAAUUUGUGUAAAAUGAUUCUUUAAAUAAACAAUUAAUUUAUCGAGA
This is a long non-coding RNA of Halichondria panicea, 1583 nucleotides long. RefSeq lists it as uncharacterized. NCBI's taxonomy places the organism in Eukaryota, Metazoa, Porifera, Demospongiae, Suberitida, Halichondriidae. The record is from RefSeq and is a predicted model, not a curated record. The transcript is spliced from 2 exons.